AGCAGCCGCGGUAAUUCCAGCUCCAAUAGCGUAUAUUAAAGUUGUUGCAGUUAAAAAGCUCGUAGUUGAAUUUCGGGAUCAAUAUUUCGGUCAUGCCGUUGGUAUGCACUGUUAUCAUUGAUUUCUCACCUUCUAAAGAACCGUAAUGCCAUUAAUUUGGUGUUACGGGGAAUUAGGACUGUUACCUUGAAAAAUUAGAGUGUUUAAAGCAGGCUCACGCUUGAAUACAUUAGCAUGGAAUAAUGAAAUAGGACAUCCGAUUCUAUUUUGUUGGUUUCUAGGAUCGAUGUAAUGAUUAAUAGGGAUAGUUGGGGGCAUUAGUAUUCAAUUGUCAGAGGUGAAAUUCUUGGAUUUAUUGAAGACUAACUACUGCGAAAGCAUUUGCCAAGGGUGUUUUCAUUAAUCAAGAACGAAAGUUAGGGGAUCGAAGACGAUCAGAUACCGUCGUAGUCUUAACCAUAAACUAUGCCGACU
Molecule: ribosomal RNA, 474 nt
Filed under: uncultured Glomus
Lineage: Eukaryota; Fungi; Glomeromycota; Glomeromycetes; Glomerales; Glomeraceae
Description: SSU rRNA
Rfam family: Eukaryotic small subunit ribosomal RNA
Source: RNAcentral